ACUGGUUGAUCCUGCCAGUAGUCAUAUGCUUGUCUCAGAGAUUAAGCCAUGCAUGUCUAAGUACAUACCUUAAAACGGUGAAACCGCGAAUGGCUCAUUAAAUCAGCUAUGGUUCCUUAGAUCGUAAACGCUACAUGGAUAACUGUAGUAAUUCUAGAGCUAAUACAUGCCUUGAAUCCCUGACCCGCAAGGGGACGGGUGCAUUUAUUAGAACAGAACCAACCGGGUGCGGCUUAUGCUGUGCCUGUUACAUUCUGUGAUGACUCUGGAUAACUUUACUGAUCGCAGUCGGCCUUGUGUGUCGGCGACGGAUCUUUCAAAUGUCUGCCCUAUCAAUUUGUUGGUAGGUGAUUUGCCUACCAUGAUGAUAACGGGUAACGGGGAAUCAGGGUUCGAUUCCGGAGAGGGAGCCUGAGAAAUGGCUACCACAUCCAAGGACGGCAGCAGGCGCGAAAAUUACCCACUCCCAGCACGGGGAGGUAGUGACGAAAAAUACGGAUACGGGACUCAAUUGAGGCUCCGUAAUUCGAAUGAGUACAAUUUAAAUCCUUUAACGAGGACCAAUUGGAGGGCAAGUCUGGUGCCAGCAGCCGCGGUAACUCCAGCUCCAAAAGCGUAUAUUAAAGUUGCUGCAGUUAAAAAGCUCGUAGUUGGAUCUGGGUAGUGCGAUCGCAUGCUGUUGCUUGUUCACGGUCUUGGUUACGAUCAGGGCAGUGGUCAGCUCGGCGUAGUGGUUGUGCAACCUUUCAGCCGUGUCUGUGUUUUAUUAAACAGGUGUCGAUGGGUUAAUGAGUAUUGUAUCUUAUUGACCUGUUGGCAUGCUUUCGGAUGCCUUUAAACGGGUGUCGGGGGCGGACGGCAUCUUUACUUUGAACAAAUUUGAGUGCUCAAAGCAGGCCUAUGCGCCUGAAAAUUCUUGCAUGGAAUAAUGAAAUAGGACUUCGGUUCUAUUUUGUUGGUUUUCGGAUCCGAAGUAAUGGUUAAGAGGGACAGACGGGGGCAUUUGUAUGCCGGUGUUAGAGGUGAAAUUCUGGGAUCG
This 1039-nucleotide ribosomal RNA is filed under the name Schistosoma japonicum. RNAcentral describes it as "SSU rRNA". It matches the Rfam family "Eukaryotic small subunit ribosomal RNA", at positions 1 to 927 of the family's 1831-position model. Lineage: Eukaryota; Metazoa; Platyhelminthes; Trematoda; Strigeidida; Schistosomatidae. The record is from RNAcentral.